UCCUGGUGGCUUAGCUGGUAAAGAAUCCGCCUGCAAUGCGGGAGACCUGGGUUCGAUCCCUGGGUCGGGAA
This 71-nucleotide transfer RNA is filed under the name Bos taurus (domestic cattle). It matches the Rfam family "tRNA". From Rfam's summary of the family: Transfer RNA (tRNA) molecules are approximately 80 nucleotides in length. Their secondary structure includes four short double-helical elements and three loops (D, anti-codon, and T loops). Lineage: Eukaryota; Metazoa; Chordata; Mammalia; Artiodactyla; Bovidae. The record is from Rfam by way of RNAcentral. RNAcentral also lists the same sequence under 3 other names.